RNAcentral lists this unclassified non-coding RNA (1422 nucleotides) under Neodiprion lecontei (redheaded pine sawfly). RNAcentral describes it as "rNA-binding protein 1, transcript variant X5". The record is from RNAcentral. Lineage: Eukaryota; Metazoa; Arthropoda; Insecta; Hymenoptera; Diprionidae.
UCGCGACACAAUCAAAACGCCAGUUACCGCCAUUUUGGAUCAAUAGACUUGCCUCCUCAGGUUUCCCCGACUGCCUGACAGUCGCGUGUAAUUAUUUAACAGAUAAGCAAUAAUGUAUUUAAGGCGCGCGAGCCCCGCAAGUCCAGUCAGCCGUGAAGUAAGUAAUGGGCGUGAGUCGCUCGAGCGAAUGGGAAUUGAUACAGAUACUACAAAGCGAUGAUUCAAAAGAGAUUACCAAGGCUUCUGAUUUUUCAUUGAUGUUACCAAUUAUGUCACGCUACCGUGAAUGGGAUUUAUCCUGCAAAGUAUAUGUCGGUAAUCUGGGUAGCAGUGCCAGUAAACACGAGAUCGAAAGUGCAUUCAGCAAGUAUGGACCUCUAAGAAAUGUUUGGGUUGCAAGAAAUCCACCAGGGUUUGCAUUUGUUGAAUUUGAAGAUCCUAGAGAUGCCGAAGAUGCAGUCAGAGGGUUAGAUGGAACACGCUGUUGUGGGACAAGAGUAAGAGUAGAAAUGUCUUCAGGAAGAAGUCGUCGCGGUGGUGGAGGACGUAGACCAGGCCCGCGAUACUCGAGAUCCAGAUCCCCAUCUCCACGAAGGAAGUCCACAGGGCGUUAUCCCAGGUCAUUGUCGCGCAGUCCACGGGGGACGUCAAUUGACCGCUUCUCUAGAUUCUACCAGAGUCAGCUCCUAGCUCUGCUCGUCUCCCCGCCACUACUACUUCUGCUACUUCUACUACUACAGCCACCGUGAAAAAAAAAAAAAAAAAAAAAAACAAAAACAAAAACAAAAUCUAGCAAUCAAAUUGAAAAAAAUUGCCUGCCUGCCCACUAACCUCCCAACCAGUCACCAUCAGUCACCACCAGUCACCACGGCUAGGAGUCAAGUCGUCCGACAGUCCGUAGCUGUCCGUCAGUUCCCCUACAAAAAGACUUCUUUGGGCUACCUUCGCCUCUAGGAGCUAGGAAGCAUCGUGACCCACCGAUCAGCCAACGCGAUACGAAUACUUCUAUCAAAAUAUCGGCGCGUCCGUUCGUCAGUCCCAACUUCUACUACUACUACUGCUACUACUACUCGUCCACCGUCACGAAUUAACUUAGCUGACAAUGCGUCCGCCAGUUCUCUUCGACCGAGCAAAGCAAUAUGAUCACCACCUACACACCAUCCCACCACCACCCAACCAACUACCACCACCAACCACCACCACCACCACCACCACAUGUUCACAGUUGUCUGGUCAAGGUCACGCAGCCCAAGAAGGAGGUCACUUACCAGAAGUAGAAGCCGCGAUCGUCGCUCACGUUCCGACUCUCGCGACAGACGUUAGGUCCUAAAUGUUCGAGAAAGGACGGACUUAAAAAUCCCAAGAAGAAGAAGAGCAAAGCAUUCUUUGUACAUUAAUUGAAUCACAUGUUCAAAAAGAAAC